Molecule: ribosomal RNA, 468 nt
Filed under: uncultured Aminicenantes bacterium
Lineage: Bacteria; Candidatus Aminicenantota
Description: bacterial SSU rRNA
Rfam family: Bacterial small subunit ribosomal RNA
Source: RNAcentral
CCCGCACAAGCGGUGGAGCAUGUGGUUUAAUUCGACGCUACGCGAAGAACCUUACCUGGGCUUGAACUGCUGGUGGUAGAAGCCCGAAAGGGUAACGACCCGGAGCAAUCCGGGAGCCAGUAGAGGUGCUGCAUGGCUGUCGUCAGCUCGUGUCGUGAGAUGUUGGGUUAAGUCCCGCAACGAGCGCAACCCUUACCCUUAGUUGCCAGCGGGUAAUGCCGGGCACUCUAAGGGGACCGCCCGGAUAACGGGGAGGAAGGCGGGAUGACGUCAAGUCAGCAUGGCCCUUAUGUCCAGGGCUACACACGUGCUACAAUGGGCGAUACAGAGGGAAGCAAGGCCGCAAGGUAGAGCUAAUCCCUAAAGUCGUCCUCAGUUCGGAUUGCAGGCUGCAACUCGCCUGCAUGAAGUCGGAAUCGCUAGUAAUCGCGGAUCAGCUACGCCGCGGUGAAUACGUUCCCGGGCCUU